This 498-nucleotide ribosomal RNA is filed under the name uncultured bacterium. Its description in RNAcentral is "partial 16S ribosomal RNA". It matches the Rfam family "Bacterial small subunit ribosomal RNA", at positions 28 to 507 of the family's 1533-position model. The record is from RNAcentral.
GACGAACGCUGGCGGCGUGCCUAAUACAUGCAAGUCGAACGAGAGCGACCGGUGCUUGCACUGGUCAAUCUAGUGGCGAACGGGUGAGUAACACGUGGGUAACCUGCCCAUCAGAGGGGGAUAACAUCCGGAAACGGAUGCUAAAACCGCAUAGGUCUUCGAGCCGCAUGGCUUGAAGAGGAAAAGAGGCGCAAGCUUCUGCUGAUGGAUGGACCCGCGGUGCAUUAGCUAGUUGGUGAGGUAACGGCUCACCAAGGCCGUGAUGCAUAGCCGACCUGUGAGGGUGAUAGGCCACAUUGGGACUGAGACACGGCCCAAACUCCUACGGGAGGCAGCAGUAGGGAAUCUUCCGCAAUGGACGCAAGUCUGACGGAGCAACGCCGCGUGAGUGAAGAAGGUUUUCGGAUCGUAAAACUCUGUUGUUAGAGAAGAACAAGUGCUAGAGUAACUGUUAGCGCCUUGACGGUAUCUAACCAGAAAGCCACGGCUAACUACGUG